CGCGGACUUCUCUGGCUGGGGCACUCCUCCCGGUCUCGUCCAUCCCAGCGAGGUCCCGGCGCGGCCGGGCCCAACGCGGCCCUUCCCCACCUGUUCUCCUCCCCCUGCAGCCGGCAGCUCCUGUUUUCUGAGUUCUGUGGCCCAUUUGCACAACAAGCAAAAAGACAAGAUAAACAACUUCUGUUUAGACUUUCCAAGGUCUUUUUCUCUGAAUGGCGUCUCAAGAACUCUGACUCCACGUCAUCCAGGAGUGAACCCAAACACUGGGGAUUCUUUCAACAUCCGAAAAGGGUCAUACGCCUUCAAUCCUGAGGUCAUCACUCCUCAAGAGAGGAUAAUCCCAGGGACAGCAGGAUCUGCUUCAUCACUUGGAUUUAGGAGUAAGGAACCCCUCAGGCAAAUAAACAGUAAUGAUGACCCACCAUUUAGCACACUGAGAGAAGAGCAGGACAAGGAGUUGGUGCAAGAAGAAUCCAGAUGCACCUGCUGACAGUGCCUACCGGGUCGCAGAGUACUGUGAGCUCUGCCCAUUGAACUGAAGGGAAAACUCUUUCCCCUCCCGAGACCCUUGG
RNAcentral lists this long non-coding RNA (572 nucleotides) under Heterocephalus glaber (naked mole-rat). RNAcentral's name for it is "lncRNA (ENSHGLG00000037433.1)". Lineage: Eukaryota; Metazoa; Chordata; Mammalia; Rodentia; Bathyergidae. The record is from RNAcentral.